AGGGGCGUAGGUAAAUGGUAUACCGGGGCUCUCCAAAAGCCUUAUUGGGAGUUCGAUUCUCUCCGCCCCUGCCC
RNAcentral lists this transfer RNA (74 nucleotides) under Candidatus Woesebacteria bacterium GWA1_42_12. Its description in RNAcentral is "tRNA-Trp". It matches the Rfam family "tRNA". From Rfam's summary of the family: Transfer RNA (tRNA) molecules are approximately 80 nucleotides in length. Their secondary structure includes four short double-helical elements and three loops (D, anti-codon, and T loops). Further hydrogen bonds mediate the characteristic L-shaped molecular structure. tRNAs have two regions of fundamental functional importance: the anti-codon, which is responsible for specific mRNA codon recognition, and the 3' end, to which the tRNAs corresponding amino acid is attached (by aminoacyl-tRNA synthetases). tRNAs cope with the degeneracy of the genetic code in two manners: having more than one tRNA (with a specific anti-codon) for a particular amino acid; and 'wobble' base-pairing, i.e. permitting non-standard base-pairing at the 3rd anti-codon position. The record is from RNAcentral. RNAcentral also lists the same sequence under 2 other names. Lineage: Bacteria; Candidatus Woeseibacteriota.